GACGAACGCUGGCGGCGUGCCUAAUACAUGCAAGUAGAACGCUGAAGGAGGAGCUUGCUUCUCUGGAUGAGUUGCGAACGGGUGAGUAACGCGUAGGUAACCUGCCUGGUAGCGGGGGAUAACUAUUGGAAACGAUAGCUAAUACCGCAUAAGAGUAGAUGUUGCAUGACAUUUGCUUAAAAGGUGCAAUUGCAUCACUACCAGAUGGACCUGCGUUGUAUUAGCUAGUUGGUGGGGUAACGGCUCACCAAGGCGACGAUACAUAGCCGACCUGAGAGGGUGAUCGGCCACACUGGGACUGAGACACGGCCCAGACUCCUACGGGAGGCAGCAGUAGGGAAUCUUCGGCAAUGGACGGAAGUCUGACCGAGCAACGCCGCGUGAGUGAAGAAGGUUUUCGGAUCGUAAAGCUCUGUUGUAAGAGAAGAACGAGUGUGAGAGUGGAAAGUUCACACUGUGACGGUAUCGUACCAGAAAGGGACGGCUAACUACGU
RNAcentral lists this ribosomal RNA (494 nucleotides) under uncultured bacterium. RNAcentral describes it as "partial 16S ribosomal RNA". It matches the Rfam family "Bacterial small subunit ribosomal RNA", at positions 28 to 506 of the family's 1533-position model. The record is from RNAcentral.